AGUGAACGCUGGCGGUAGACCUAACACAUGCAAGUCGAACGGCAGCACAGUAAGAGCUUGCUCUUACGGGUGGCGAGUGGAGGACGGGUGAGGAAUACAUCGGAAUCUACUUUUUCGUGGGGGAUAACGUUGGGAAACUUACGGUAAUACCGCAUACGAACUACGGGUGAAAGCAGGGGAUCUUCGGACCUUGCGCGAUUGAUCGAGCCGAUGUCGGAUUAGCUAGUUGGCGGGGUAAAGGCCCACCAAGGCGACGAUCCGUAGCUGGUCUGAGAGGAUGAUCAGCCACACUGGAACUGAGACACGGUCCAGACUCCUACGGGAGGCAGCAGUGGGGAAUAUUGGACAAUGGGCGCAAGCCUGAUCCAGCCAUACCGCGUGGGUGAAGAAGGCCUUCGGGUUGUAAAGCCCUUUUGUUGGGAAAGAAAAGCAGCAGGUUAAUACCCCGCUGUUCUGACGGUACCCAAAGAAUAAGCACCGGCUAACUUCGUG
RNAcentral lists this ribosomal RNA (492 nucleotides) under uncultured bacterium. RNAcentral's name for it is "partial 16S ribosomal RNA". It matches the Rfam family "Bacterial small subunit ribosomal RNA", at positions 29 to 507 of the family's 1533-position model. The record is from RNAcentral.